CUCUCUCUCUCUCCAGUCAAAUGCUCAUGCUAAUAAUACAAGGAAGACACGUCUCUCUCUCUCUCUCUCCGCCCAUCUUGUCACAUGCUUAAUGCAAGGAACACAAGUCUCUCUCUCUAUUAGCUUCAUUGAGGCCUGUGUCUUUGCUAGAACCUGCGGUAACGCACCUCUUUGAACUUGUGAAAUGCAGCUCCCCUGUGGAGUAGAGACAUCAAAGCUUUUGUUGCAAUCGUUGUUUUGACCGUAGAUUUCUUCAAAGGGAAGGGGAUAAUAUGCGUGAGGUCAGCAAAUCCCUUGUGCGGAUAAAUGGGGAGAGAAAGAAUGAGAGGCCUGUAGCAAGUAACGUUAGUUUACUCUCUCUCUCUCAUAUAUCAAUGCUCUUGUCAGACUUUGUAAGAAAACAGAUACGCGCCAUUGCUUUUUUCACCCAGGGAUAAAUGGUCUCAUUGAAUCUUUUUUUUAUUAUAAUAUCUCGACAUUUAAUAUAAAUUUAAAAAUAUUAAUUUAAAAAUAAGAUUCAUCAAAUAAUGCCAUUUGAAAUCUCUCUCUCUUCCCUCUCUCCCUUCCUUCUCCUCUCUCUCUCUCAUAGAGCAAACAAAGAAAGAAUAGAUCUACUACCUUAUCUUCACCAAACGCCUCUCCACGGGACAAUGUAUUGAACUGAAAAAGAUAGAAUCAGGUUGGGGUCAUGGCGGCAGAAUCACCUGAGCCCCAGUUAAAAGUCA
Molecule: long non-coding RNA, 725 nt
Filed under: Amborella trichopoda
Lineage: Eukaryota; Viridiplantae; Streptophyta; Magnoliopsida; Amborellales; Amborellaceae
Description: long non-coding RNA (ATRI_LNC002810)
Source: RNAcentral